Molecule: ribosomal RNA, 431 nt
Filed under: uncultured bacterium
Lineage: Bacteria
Description: bacterial SSU rRNA
Rfam family: Bacterial small subunit ribosomal RNA
Source: RNAcentral
AACGCGAAGAACCUUACAUGGCCGUGACAUAUUCAGAACCUUCCAGAAAAGGAUUGGUUCCUUCGGGAACUGACAUACAGGUGCUGCAUGGCAGUCGUCAGCUCGUGUAGUGAGAUGUUGGGUUAAGUCCCGCAACGAGCGCAACCCUUUUCCUUAUUUGCCAGCGAGUAAUGUCGGGAANCUUNAAGGAUACUCCCAGUGACAAAAUGGAGGAAAGUCGGGGACGACGUCAAGUUAUCAUGGCCCUAUCUNCAAGGGUUAAACACGUGUUNCAAUGGUGGGUACUAUAGGGUUGGAACACAUCGGAUGGGAUGCUAAUCUCAAAAACCGGUUNCUAUUCCGGAUUGGAUUUAUCAAAUUGGAGCUACCAUNAAUUCGGGUUCGUUAGUAAUCGCGGUUCAGGANGGAGCAGCUGAAUACGUUNUCCAAGG